UCUUGGUCAUUUAGAGGAAGUAAAAGUCGUAACAAGGUCUCCGUUGGUGAACCAGCGGAGGGAUCAUUACAGAGUUGCAAAACUCCCUAAACCAUUGUGAACGUUACCUUUACCGUUGCUUCGGCGGGCGGCCCGGGUCCUGCCCGGCGCCCCUCGGCCCUCGCGGGCGCCCGCCGGAGGAAAACCAAACCAUUGCAUUGUAUGGCCUCUCUGAGUCUUCUGUACUGAAUAAGUCAAAACUUUCAACAACGGAUCUCUUGGUUCUGGCAUCGAUGAAGAACGCAGCGAAAUGCGAUAAGUAAUGUGAAUUGCAGAAUUCAGUGAAUCAUCGAAUCUUUGAACGCACAUUGCGCCCGCCAGUAUUCUGGCGGGCAUGCCUGUUCGAGCGUCAUUUCAACCAUCAAGCCCCCGGCUUGUGUUGGGGACCUGCGGCUGCCGCAGGCCCUGAAAACCAGUGGCGGGCUCGCUGUCACUCCGAGCGUAGUAGUUUACAUCUCGCUCAGGGCGUGCUGCGGGUUCCGGCCGUUAAAAGCCUUAUUUUACCUC
RNAcentral lists this ribosomal RNA (546 nucleotides) under fungal sp. ARIZ B206. Its description in RNAcentral is "eukaryotic LSU rRNA". The stretch from base 238 to 391 matches the Rfam family "5.8S ribosomal RNA". The record is from RNAcentral. Lineage: Eukaryota; Fungi.